UGGGGAAUAUUGCACAAUGGGCGCAAGCCUGAUGCAGCGACGCAGCGUGAGGGAUGACGGCCUUCGGGUUGUAAACCUAUUUCAGUAGGGAAGAAGCGAAAGUGACGGUACCUGCAGAAGAAGCGCCGGCUAACUACGUGCCAGCAGCCGCGGUAAUACGUAGGGCGCAAGCGUUGUCCGGAAUUAUUGGGCGUAAAGAGCUCGUAGGCGGUUUGUCGCGUCUGGUGUGAAAACUCGAGGCUCAACCUCGAGCUUGCAUCGGGUACGGGCAGACUAGAGUGCGGUAGGGGAGACUGGAAUUCCUGGUGUAGCGGUGGAAUGCGCAGAUAUCA
RNAcentral lists this ribosomal RNA (332 nucleotides) under uncultured Cellulosimicrobium sp. RNAcentral describes it as "bacterial SSU rRNA". It matches the Rfam family "Bacterial small subunit ribosomal RNA", at positions 355 to 699 of the family's 1533-position model. Lineage: Bacteria; Bacillati; Actinomycetota; Actinomycetes; Micrococcales; Promicromonosporaceae. The record is from RNAcentral.